UAUGAUCUUUCAUCAACAUUUGCUUAAGUACAAUGGAUGGCUAUGAUUCUCAAUGGCAGUUAACCGUUGUGUACAUAUCUGCCAUUGCGCAUCAUAUUGUAAUAUUAGUAACAUAUUCAAAUAUGUUUUACAGUUAUAUCAUGGAAAUUAGUUUGGGUAACCUUGUUGCAUAUAUUUAUGGGUUAAACAUCGACAAGGUCCUGGAGGGUAAAUUCUGGACAAUUCAAAGGGACGAUAAGAAAGUUGAUACUCUCCGCAGACCCCCUCGGGUCCCUGUUUAAGGGCUGAUCCCGAAGCGCCAUGCAGUACUUCUUUCACAGUCUGUGUUAAUUAGACAAUCUUGGAGUCGUUCGCCGCAAAGCUUUUAAAGAAAUAUGCAAAAGAAUAAAACAGAUUACACAAAGAGAUCGGCAAAUCUGAAGCGCUUGGUUAUGGAUAUGAGCUAGAAAGAAGAUUGUCUCUGCAAGACACCCUCUGUCCUGAGGCUUGGAUCUGGGCAUUUGAAAGCCAAGCACGUGGCCCUGCAUCGGUGACAGGACGUUGUCCAGUAAGUCGGUAUACUACAGUGAUGGUCUCUGACAUUCUGUUUAGACAAAUCUAUUUAUUUAACACGUGUUGUGGUGGGUCCCCGUUUGACUUCUUCUCUUCCAAAUGCUCACCUAAUGGAAGGCUACUUUUAGUGCAUUUGUCUUUCUCUCUCUAUUUACUUAAAACAAAACUUCAAAGGGCGACGAGAUUUAAAAUAAUGAUCCGUGCAUACACAUUCCCUGUACUGCGGGAUAUGUUGGGUAUUUUUAGACAAGGUUUCAUAUAGUGAAGUGACUGGUACGAAGUUUCACUCUCGCUGUAGAAGCAAAUAUAUUUUUCCUGUUAACAGACUCCUCAUCGGAAGCAACAACAAUAAAAAGAAAGGACGACAUUACCUGAUUUUCUGGCCUUCCUGGAUCUGUUCCUUCUAACGGAAAUGCAGCCAAAAAAAAAUCAAAAACUUUAUAACUCAUGAUACUGAUACAAAACUGACUUUUUAUUUUCUUUUUAUGAAUUGGUACACUUAGCUUUUAGAUUGGGUUUUUCAUAAUUGUCUGUUCAAAACUUGGUCACGGAUUUUUAAAAUUGAUAUUGUUUUGUAAAAGAUUGUUGAUAUUCUUUUUAUAUUUGUGAUGUAAUCAGAUAGGUUUGCAGUUAUUAAUUAAAAUUCUAUUUGGAAAUUAUAUGUAAAAGUGUUAAUAAUUGUUUGAAAUGUGACAAUAUUUGUAUUUAUUAUUUGUUUAAUGAUAAAGAAAUGUUCAUUACCAUGAAAAGUUUUAUUUUUCUUUCUUCUAUUGAUUUUACCCGAAAAUUGUGGAAUUUUGCAAAAUACAAAAUACCUUGUCAUCUCAUUUAUCACUUGUCAUAUCAUUUCCAUUAGGAUAUAAACGGAGUGUUGUUCCAAUUUUGGUUUUCAAUUUUUUGUAAUAACUACGCUAUAUUAUAGGGAACAAAAAGAGGUAUUAGUCACUUUAAUAAUAGCUUAAUAAUCAAAAUAUAAGAAAUUAUUUGAAAAAUGAAAGAAGAAAAAAUAGUCUUAUGAGUGGUCACAAUUAUAUACAUGGUAUCAAAGAAAAUUAAAGAAAAGAAAAUUAUGUACAUAAAAUUACAAUGAAGAAGUUCUCAAGAAGUAUUUACAUGUUAGACAUUUCUUUCUUGAAUAAUGUAUUAACGUCGAAAAAAA
Molecule: long non-coding RNA, 1711 nt
Organism: Magallana angulata
Lineage: Eukaryota; Metazoa; Mollusca; Bivalvia; Ostreida; Ostreidae
Exons: 3
Source: RefSeq, a predicted model, not a curated record